GAUGAACGCUGGCGGCGUGCCUAAUACAUGCAAGUCGAGCGAACAGACUAGGAGCUUGCUCCUCUGACGUUAGCGGCGGACGGGAGAGUAACACGUGGAUAACCUACCUAUAAGACUGGGAUAACUUCGGGACACCGGAGCUAAUACCGGAUAAUAUAUUUAACCGCAUGGUUCAAUAGUGAAAGACGGUUUUGCUGUCACUUAUAGAUGGAUCCGCUCCGCAUUAGCUAGUUGGUAAGGUAACGGGUUACCAAGGCAACGAUGCGUAGCCGACCUGAGAGGGUGGUCGGCCACCUGGGAACUGAGACGCGGUCCAUGCUCCUGAGGGAGGCCGCAGUAGGGUAUCGGCCGCAGUAGUGGGAAACCUUACGGAACAGCGGCACGCGUGUUGUGGAGGUCCUGGGUGCGGAAAGACCGGUUUCUAGGGAAGAACAAAUGUGGAAGUAACUAUGCCCGUCUUGACGGUACCUAAUCAGAAAGCCACGGCUAACUACGUG
RNAcentral lists this ribosomal RNA (497 nucleotides) under uncultured bacterium. RNAcentral describes it as "partial 16S ribosomal RNA". It matches the Rfam family "Bacterial small subunit ribosomal RNA", at positions 28 to 507 of the family's 1533-position model. The record is from RNAcentral.